AAAAGGAGCAAAAGCUGGAAACCCCCAUUAGAGGCUCACGGCCAGCCAUAGCAAAAAUCACCUUCCAUUUCUUGUCCUUCAAAAAAUUAUUUUGUUGAUGCAAACCCGUUAUUUUGAGGUCCCUAAGUAGCGUGGAAGCAUCGUUGGAGCGAUCAAACCAUCAUUUUUCAUCUUUUGGAAACCCUAGGCUAUUGGAAAGUUGAAGAAGAAAGAUCGUGGGCAGCCCGAAGCCUAGUUUGGACUUAGCUUGAGUUGGAUCAUAUUGGAGAGCGUUUGAGGUACAGACGCACAGCCUGGGGAUCCACCUGUUUAGGACACCCCCUUCUGCUAUUCGGAGUGCUCCUCUCAUUCCGGAGCUUAUAUUUUUGGUAUAUAUAUUGUUAGUGCAUUUAUAUAUAUUCGUUCAUGGGUACAGCGGAGCCCUGUCCCGUCAUAUGAUUCUGUCGGUUUGUUUAGAGGUCUGUGGACAUGUUUGUGGGUUAGGGUCUUUCUGUACGGAUGCGUGUAUAUGUUGUGUUUGGGCGAUCCCAUUCGCCGCGGCGGCCGGUCCGCAUAUGUUUACAUGUUGCUUUGUUGGCCGGUGUGGCUUUUGUUGGUAUUUUCUGUGCGCAGGGUUAUUUUGGAUAGUCUGUAAAACAAAGGAAACUCUGCCGAAA
Molecule: long non-coding RNA, 656 nt
Organism: Lycium barbarum (goji berry)
Lineage: Eukaryota; Viridiplantae; Streptophyta; Magnoliopsida; Solanales; Solanaceae
Exons: 3
Source: RefSeq, a predicted model, not a curated record